Piliocolobus tephrosceles (Ugandan red Colobus) is the source of this 1101-nucleotide RNA transcript. It is a transcript of the gene named WD repeat-containing protein 55 pseudogene, with no coding region annotated. NCBI's taxonomy places the organism in Eukaryota, Metazoa, Chordata, Mammalia, Primates, Cercopithecidae. The record is from RefSeq and is a predicted model, not a curated record. The transcript has a single exon.
UCCUCAGCAUGGACCGCACUUGUGAGGAGAGGCCCGCUGAGGAUGGGAACGACGAGGACGACCCAGACUCCAUAGAAGCCCCGACCCGGAUCCGGGACACUCCGGAAGACAUCGUGCUGGAAGCUCCGGCCACUGGGCUGGCGUUCCAUCUGGCCCGUGACCUACUGGCUGCAGGGGACGUGGACGGGGACAUGUUCCUCUUUUCCUACUCUUGCCAAGAGGGAGAAACCAAGGAGCUCUGGUCAUUGGGUCACCAUCUCAAGGCCUGCCGAGCUGUGGCCUUCUCUGAAGAUGGGCAGAAGCUUGUUACUAUCUCCAAGGACAAAGCCAUCCAUGUUCUAGAUGUGGAGCAGGGCCAACUAGAAAGACGUGUUUCCAAGGCUCACGGUGCCCCCAUCAACAGUCUUCUGCUGGUGGAUGAGAAUGUUCUGGCCACUGGGGAUGACACGGGUGGUAUCCAUCUCUGGGACCAGCGGAAGGAGGGCCCCUUAAUGGAUAUGAGGCAACAUGAAGAGUACAUCACAGACAUGGCUCUGGAUCCAGCCAAGAAGCUGCUGCUAACAGCCAGUGGGGAUGGCUGCCUUGGCGUCUUCAACGUUAAGAGGCGUCGGUUUGAGCUGCUCUCAGAGCCUCAGUCUGGGGAUCUGACCUCUGUCACCCUCAUGAAAUAUGGGAAGAAGGUGGCCUGUGGGUCCAGUGAAGGUACCAUCUACCUCUUCAACUGGAAUGGCUUUGGGGCCACAAGUGACCGCUUUGCCGGCUCCACCAAUGGAGUCAUCAGGGCUGUGAACAUCCUACCGAACCGAGUGGUGGGCAGUGUGGGCCAGCACCCUGGGGAGCCUGUGGAGGAGCUGGCCCUUUCCCACUGUGGCCGCUUCCUGGCCAGUAGUGGUCAUGACCAGCGCCUCAAGUUUUGGGACAUGGCCCAGCUGCGAGCUGUGGUGGUGGAUGACUACCGUUGGCGCAAAAAAAAAGGGAGGACCACUGCGGGCUCUGAGCAGCAAGACUUGGAGCACUGAUGACUUCUUCGCAGGACUGAGGGAAGACGGAGAAGACUCCAUGGCUCAGGAAGAAGAGGAGACUGGGGAUGACAGUGACUGA